CCUACGGGAGGCAGCAGUGGGGAAUAUUGCACAAUGGGGGGAACCCUGAUGCAGCGACGCCGCGUGGGUGAAGGAGUAUUUCGGUAUGUAAAGCCCUAUCAGCAGGGAAGAACAAUGACGGUACCUGACUAAGAAGCACCGGCUAAAUACGUGCCAGCAGCCGCGGUAAUACGUAUGGUGCAAGCGUUAUCCGGAUUUACUGGGUGUAAAGGGAGCGCAGGCGGCGCGUUAAGCCUGGUGUGAAAGCCCGGGGCCCAACCGCGGGACUGCAUUGGGAACUGGCGCGCUGGAGUGCCGGAGGGGUAGGCGGAAUUCCUAGUGUAGCGGUGAAAUGCGUAGAUAUUAGGAGGAACACCAGUGGCGAAGGCGGCCUACUGGACGGUGACUGACGCUGAGGCUCGAAAGCGUGGGGAGCAAACAGGAUUAGAUACCCCUGUAGUC
This 441-nucleotide ribosomal RNA is filed under the name uncultured bacterium. RNAcentral's name for it is "partial 16S ribosomal RNA". It matches the Rfam family "Bacterial small subunit ribosomal RNA", at positions 338 to 795 of the family's 1533-position model. The record is from RNAcentral.